AGUUUUUUUCGCGCUAAAAUCGUUGUGUGUUAAUUUCAACCAUUUGUUGUUAAACAUAUAGAAGAAAUGAAAGAAAGUAGAAAUAUUUCAAAAUAUAUUGAGAAGGAUCUUACAAGUAGUAAGUUUUUUUAAUUCCCUGUGUUACCUUGAAUAUUUAUAUGAAAUACCAUGUAUACAUAUUUCAAGUUUAUUUGGUGUCAUUAUUUCGCAUAUGCUAUAGAAAAAUUUCUUUAUUUUAGGUUGAUGAAAAAAGCGACAAAAAGGAAAUGAGAAGAUUCCCUUUUUUUGAGAAGAAGAAACACAAAUAGAAGAAAAAGUGGAUGAAAAAUCGUUUCGAUACUGAAGACGCACGUGAAAAUGCAGAGGUGAUAAAAAUGUUUAUGCUUGGGUACAUAAAGUUAUUGUAAAUAAAUAUGAGUUAUCAAAUGUCUUCUGAUACUAUAGUGUAAUUUAACGAAUGUGAAUACUAGUUGAUUAUAAAAGAAAAUAAUUUUAAAAA
Long non-coding RNA from Hydractinia symbiolongicarpus, 499 nucleotides. RefSeq lists it as uncharacterized. The record is from RefSeq and is a predicted model, not a curated record. The transcript is spliced from 2 exons. NCBI's taxonomy places the organism in Eukaryota, Metazoa, Cnidaria, Hydrozoa, Anthoathecata, Hydractiniidae.